This 253-nucleotide ribosomal RNA is filed under the name uncultured bacterium. Its description in RNAcentral is "partial 16S ribosomal RNA". It matches the Rfam family "Bacterial small subunit ribosomal RNA", at positions 524 to 776 of the family's 1533-position model. The record is from RNAcentral.
UACGAAGGGGGCUAGCGUUGUUCGGAAUUACUGGGCGUAAAGGGCGCGUAGGCGGUGUGUCAAGUCAGGCGUGAAAGCCCCGGGCUCAACCUGGGAACGGCGCUUGAGACUGGCACGCUCGAGUUCGGGAGAGGAUGGUGGAAUUCCCAAUGUAGAGGUGAAAUUCGUAGAUAUUCGCAAGAACACCAGUGGCGAAGGCGGCUCACUGGCCCGGUACUGACGCUGAGGUGCGAAAGCGUGGGGAGCAAACAGG